AUGAACGCUGGCGGCGUGCUAAUACAUGCAAGUCGAACGCUUUGUGGUUCAACUGAUUUGAAGAGCUUGCUCAGAUAUGACGAUGGACAUUGCAAAGAGUGGCGAACGGGUGAGUAACACGUGGGAAACCUACCUCUUAGCAGGGGAUAACAUUUGGAAACAGAUGCUAAUACCGUAUAACAAUGACAACCGCAUGGUUGUUAUUUAAAAGAUGGUUCUGCUAUCACUAAGAGAUGGUCCCGCGGUGCAUUAGCUAGUUGGUAAGGUAAUGGCUUACCAAGGCGAUGAUGCAUAGCCGAGUUGAGAGACUGAUCGGCCACAAUGGGACUGAGACACGGCCCAUACUCCUACGGGAGGCAGCAGUAGGGAAUCUUCCACAAUGGGCGAAAGCCUGAUGGAGCAACGCCGCGUGUGUGAUGAAGGGUUUCGGCUCGUAAAACACUGUUGUAAGAGAAGAAUGACAUUGAGAGUAACUGUUCAAUGUGUGACGGUAUCUUACCAGAAAGGAACGGCUAAAUACGUGCCAGCAGCCGCGGUAAUACGUAUGUUCCAAGCGUUAUCCGGAUUUAUUGGGCGUAAAGCGAGCGCAGACGGUUAUUUAAGUCUGAAGUGAAAGCCCUCAGCUCAACUGAGGAAUUGCUUUGGAAACUGGAUGACUUGAGUGCAGUAGAGGAAAGUGGAACUCCAUGUGUAGCGGUGAAAUGCGUAGAUAUAUGGAAGAACACCAGUGGCGAAGGCGGCUUUCUGGACUGUAACUGACGUUGAGGCUCGAAAGUGUGGGUAGCAAACAGGAUUAGAUACCCUGGUAGUCCACACCGUAAACGAUGAGUGCUAGGUGUUUGAGGGUUUCCGCCCUUAAGUGCCGCAGCUAACGCAUUAAGCACUCCGCCUGGGGAGUACGACCGCAAGGUUGAAACUCAAAGGAAUUGACGGGGACCCGCACAAGCGGUGGAGCAUGUGGUUUAAUUCGAAGCAACGCGAAGAACCUUACCAGGUCUUGACAUCCCUUGACAACUCCAGAGAUGGAGUGUUCCCUUCGGGGACAAGGUGACAGGUGGUGCAUGGUUGUCGUCAGCUCGUGUCGUGAGAUGUUGGGUUAAGUCCCGCAACGAGCGCAACCCUUAUUACUAGUUGCCAGCAUUCAGUUGGGCACUCUAGUGAGACUGCCGGUGACAAACCGGAGGAAGGUGGGGAUGACGUCAAAUCAUCAUGCCCCUUAUGACCUGGGCUACACACGUGCUACAAUGGCGUAUACAACGAGUUGCCAACCCGCGAGGGUGAGCUAAUCUCUUAAAGUACGUCUCAGUUCGGAUUGUAGGCUGCAACUCGCCUACAUGAAGUCGGAAUCGCUAGUAAUCGCGGAUCAGCACGCCGCGGUGAAUACGUUCCCGGGUCUUGUACACACCGCCCGUCACACCAUGAGAGUUUGUAACACCCAAAGCCGGUGGGGUAACCUUCGGGAGCCAGCCGUCUAAGGUGGG
RNAcentral lists this ribosomal RNA (1481 nucleotides) under Weissella confusa. Its description in RNAcentral is "bacterial SSU rRNA". It matches the Rfam family "Bacterial small subunit ribosomal RNA". Lineage: Bacteria; Bacillati; Bacillota; Bacilli; Lactobacillales; Lactobacillaceae. The record is from RNAcentral.